GAUUAACGCUGGCGGUAUGCCUAACACAUGCAAGUCGAACGGAAUACUCGAAAAGAGAAUCUCACACUAGUGAGAGGUUCUCCAACCGAGUAUUUAGUGGCGGACGGGUGAGUAACACGUUGGAACCUGCCCCGAAGUGGGGAAUAACUGCUCGAAAGAGUAGCUAAUACCCCAUAGUAUCCGGUUUAUCCGGAUUAAAGAUUUAUCGCUUCGGGAGGGGCCUGCGUCUGAUUAGCUUGUUGGUGGGGUAAAAGCUCACCAAGGCGACGAUCAGUAGCUGGUUCGAGAGGAUGACCAGCCACACUGGGACUGAGAUACGGCCCAGACUCCUACGGGAGGCAGCAGUGAGGAAUCUUCCACAAUGGACGAAAGUCUGAUGGAGCAAUACCGCGUGCAGGACGACGCUUUUCGGAGUGUAAACUGCUUUUGUCGUCGAAGAUUAUGACUGUAGACGAAGAAUAAGGACCGGCGUAACUACGUGCCAGCAGCCGCGGUAA
Molecule: ribosomal RNA, 497 nt
Filed under: uncultured bacterium
Lineage: Bacteria
Description: bacterial SSU rRNA
Rfam family: Bacterial small subunit ribosomal RNA
Source: RNAcentral